AUUAUAAUUAUAGCGCCCGAACUUGAAUGGGGUCGUGUCAUACAUUUAAGUUGACGAGGAUGGGGAGUAUCGAAAAUUCGGCGGAUGCCCCACGGUAAAGAGAUAUCGAAAGAUGCCUAUAAAAUCGGGAAGUGAUUCCCGACACAGAGAGAGCAUCCUUCUCAUUG
Molecule: non-coding RNA, 167 nt
Filed under: Clostridiales bacterium
Lineage: Bacteria; Bacillati; Bacillota; Clostridia; Eubacteriales
Description: GlcN6P sequence
Rfam family: glmS glucosamine-6-phosphate activated ribozyme aptamer
About the family: This entry contains a glucosamine-6-phosphate activated ribozyme that is found in the mRNA for GlmS. GlmS is an enzyme that uses fructose-6-phosphate and glutamine to generate glucosamine-6-phosphate.
Source: RNAcentral